GGGUCGGUGGUGUAGUUGGUCUGCACGUAUGCCUGAAGAGCAUGAGGUUCGAGUUCGGUUCUCGGCUGACCCA
This 73-nucleotide transfer RNA is filed under the name Caudoviricetes sp. RNAcentral's name for it is "tRNA-Phe". It matches the Rfam family "tRNA". From Rfam's summary of the family: Transfer RNA (tRNA) molecules are approximately 80 nucleotides in length. Their secondary structure includes four short double-helical elements and three loops (D, anti-codon, and T loops). Further hydrogen bonds mediate the characteristic L-shaped molecular structure. tRNAs have two regions of fundamental functional importance: the anti-codon, which is responsible for specific mRNA codon recognition, and the 3' end, to which the tRNAs corresponding amino acid is attached (by aminoacyl-tRNA synthetases). tRNAs cope with the degeneracy of the genetic code in two manners: having more than one tRNA (with a specific anti-codon) for a particular amino acid; and 'wobble' base-pairing, i.e. permitting non-standard base-pairing at the 3rd anti-codon position. The record is from RNAcentral. Lineage: Duplodnaviria; Heunggongvirae; Uroviricota; Caudoviricetes.